This 490-nucleotide ribosomal RNA is filed under the name uncultured bacterium. Its description in RNAcentral is "partial 16S ribosomal RNA". It matches the Rfam family "Bacterial small subunit ribosomal RNA", at positions 30 to 507 of the family's 1533-position model. The record is from RNAcentral.
AUUGAACGCUGGCGGCAGGCCUAACACAUGCAAGUCGAACGGUAACAGGAAGCAGCUUGCUGCUUCGCUGACGAGUGGCGGACGGGUGAGUAAUGUCUGGGAAGCUGCCUGAUGGAGGGGGAUAACUACUGGAAACGGUAGCUAAUACCGCAUAAUGUCGCAAGACCAAAGAGGGGGACCUUCGGGCCUCUUGCCAUCGGAUGUGCCCAGAUGGGAUUAGCUUGUUGGUGGGGUAACGGCUCACCAAGGCGACGAUCCCUAGCUGGUCUGAGAGGAUGACCAGCCACACUGGAACUGAGACACGGUCCAGACUCCUACGGGAGGCAGCAGUGGGGAAUAUUGCACAAUGGGCGCAAGCCUGAUGCAGCCAUGCCGCGUGUAUGAAGAAGGCCUUCGGGUUGUAAAGUACUUUCAGCGGGGGGGAAGGGAGUAAAGUUAAUACCUUUGCUCAUUGACGUUACCCGCAGAAGAAGCACCGGCUAACUCCGUG